GAAGGUAUGGCUCAGUGGUAGAGCAUGUGCCUUGCAUGCACAAGGUCCUGGGUUCAAUCCCCAGUACUUCCA
This is a non-coding RNA of Vicugna pacos (alpaca), 72 nucleotides long. The record is from the annotation of a RefSeq genome assembly. NCBI's taxonomy places the organism in Eukaryota, Metazoa, Chordata, Mammalia, Artiodactyla, Camelidae.